GGGGUGAGGCGGGCCCGGCCCGGCCCGGCCUCCGCGCAGGGAGGGCCCGCAGACGGGGGUGUCCCGGCUCCGCGGAGCUGGGGGAGUCUCUGCCCGCGGCCCUGUGGCCCGAUUCGCGGGGCUCGCCGUUCCCGCUGCCUGCCGGGGCCCUCGGGUGAGCGAGCCCGGUCGCCCGGGGCGAGGGGGAAGGAUGCAGCUUCGCUCGGCCGGCGCUGCGCGUGUGGCGUGAGGCUGCCGGAGCCGAGACUGGCGCGGAGACGCAGAGAUGUUGCAGAAUCCCUCCUUCGGCGGGGCAGGGCGGGCCGGCAGGGAGGCACCCGCUGGUGCUGCGCGUAAUUCCCAGCGUUCGGGCACCACCGUAUGGGGCACGCAGAGGUACAGCUGACAAACCCCGUGUUCCUCAAGGGUGCAGAAGGAAACACCGUUUUUCUGCUCUUCUGUCGGUCACUUGAUUGAUCAUGAAUAUUUAUGGCUGUUCAUCUUCUGCUUUAUCUCAUAGGGUGUAUGGUAAGUCCUGAUGCCAUUCAAGACUUACGGAAAGCGCGCUCUCGCCUGAAAACAGAGCUUUCAUCUAUCUGUGAUCCCAAUGAGCUAAGGGGACCUCGAGGAACUUGUGGAGGGGGCCAACAGAAACCUCCAGGGGAGUAUACUACCUGCAGAAGGGUGCGGCGUGAGGGGCACAAAUGUGGAUGACUGGGCAAGAUGAAAGGAGUUAAAACCUGAUGCAGUCCCAUCCAUACCAGCUACUAAAAAUAGUCUCCAGACCAGUUGAACCACCAAACCACACUGGCAGAAUCUAAUUCUUCUGCUCCAGCUGGGAUCACAGGAGUGAUUUAGCAUUUUACGAAGCAUGCACAAUUGUUUGAAUGAGUCCCUGGAGAGAACAAGAGCUAUUUAUCUCAGCUAACAGCCACCUCUCUAUGCCAAACACCUCAAAUGGUGGGACACGUCCAGGGGCAUGGACCAUCCUGCUGUCAGUGAUUGGCUGAAAUUCCCCAACCCAUGUCACAUCACAUGACAAGACAAUACUCUCAAAUUCUGUCCUGUGAUGAUUUAACACUAAUAUUGGAGGAAAAAAACCCCUGUGUACCACAGAUUCGAGUAUGUGACCUCCGUAGUAGAGGGUGAGGAGUUGGGAACAAGCAGGAAUACAGAACUGGAACCGUGCAAGGUUCUGGACAAAGGAGUUGGACUCCUGAGCUCCUGGAAAUUAGCCAUACCUGUUCCCCUCAUAAAUCUGAUCCUCUUGUUACAAGGGAGACUGUUUUUUCAUACUGGCAGGAAUGCAUGUCCCAUUUCUAUUUGCUAUGGAACACCUUUCAUUUGCUUCUCCUUUAUCAUGUGUUUUCUGCUCUGUUUUCCUCUUUUAUAAUUUCUGCCUUUGGAUUUCUGUCCAGACAGAAGCAAGAUGUUCAUCCUCUUAGUAUCUCUGUAUUAAAAGAGUAAGCGUGACUAGGGCAUAUGUUCCAAUGCAGCCCUUUGAUCAGCCGCACUGUUUAAUUGUUGUCAUGCUUCUUGGCACAGUUUUGACCCGUAACCACCAUCAGUCUUCACGACAAUGAUCAGGCAUGGUUCAUAAACCAGGGACAACUCUCCACAGGCAGAAUGGACAAGGACAUUUUUGUUGAGGGCCAAAGACUGUUAAGUUUUUUAGAUAUGAGCUGUGCUAUGCCACUUCUGGCCCGAAGGGAAGAAGGGCCUGGGGCCCCAUCCCAUUUUAUUUAUUGGCUAGAUGUUGAUAUUGAUGAUAAUAAGUAAGACUCCCACUGAUUUCAGUGAUACCAAAAUUUCAAAUUACCAAUUUCAUGGCAUAGCCUCCUAACAGGAAAAGGCACUGAUUUCAGUAACAAAGAUAAGGAAAUUGAACACCGAUACUAUUAUCAGAUCCAAAGAAUGGGUAAAAACAAGCUCUUCUCAAACUCUACAAAAAAAAGGAAAAGAGUAGAAGUAUUCCAAGCGCAGUUUCAGUUGAAACCUAUUUGCAGAAAAUUAACUGGAAUUUAAAGCCACUCCUACAGCGUUAAUUGCAAUGCUGAUUUCUAUCAGUAACAUCUGGGCCGUUCAUCUGGCAAGGAAUGUAGAAUAUAAAUCUCCUUUUUAUUACAAAGUGAUUUAUACAUAUCCUGUUAUCCCUUAUUAAACUCUGUCUUUUUUACAGCUUA
Molecule: long non-coding RNA, 2162 nt
Organism: Aquila chrysaetos chrysaetos
Lineage: Eukaryota; Metazoa; Chordata; Aves; Accipitriformes; Accipitridae
Exons: 2
Source: RefSeq, a predicted model, not a curated record